CCUACGGGUGGCAGCAAUUAGGAAUCUUGCGCAAUGGGCGAAAGCCUGACGCAGCGACGCCGCGUGGGGGAGGAAGGCCUUCGGGUUGUAAACCCCUUUUAUCCGGGAAGAACAAAAUGACGGUACCGGAUGAAUAAGCCACGGCUAACUCCGUGCCAGCAGCCGCGGUAAUACGGAGGUGGCGAGCGUUGUCCGAAGUUACUGGGCGUAAAGCGCGCGUAGGCGGGCUAUUAAGUGAGGGGUGAAAGGCUGAGGCUCAACCUCAUGUUUGUCCUCUCAUACUGAUAGUCUUGAGUGAGGCAGGGAGAAGUGGAAUGGCUGGUGUAGCGGUGAAAUGCGUAGAUAUCAGUCGGAACACCGGUGGCGAAGGCGGCUUCUUGGGCCUUUACUGACGCUGAGGCGCGAAAGCUGGGGGAGCGAACGGGAUUAGAUACCCUGGU
RNAcentral lists this ribosomal RNA (440 nucleotides) under uncultured bacterium. RNAcentral describes it as "bacterial SSU rRNA". It matches the Rfam family "Bacterial small subunit ribosomal RNA", at positions 338 to 791 of the family's 1533-position model. The record is from RNAcentral.